Molecule: long non-coding RNA, 554 nt
Organism: Gadus macrocephalus (Pacific cod)
Lineage: Eukaryota; Metazoa; Chordata; Actinopteri; Gadiformes; Gadidae
Exons: 2
Source: RefSeq, a predicted model, not a curated record
GUGUGUGUGUGUGUGUGUGUGUGUGUGUGUGUGUGUGUGUGUGUGUGUGUGUGUGUGUGUGUGUGUCUGUUUGUGUGUGUGUGUAAGUGUGUCUGAGUGUGGCAGAGAGAAAUACGCACUUGUGUGCAAUGUCAUCUACACAUGAUGUGUGUGUGUGUGUGUGCGUGUGUGUGUGUGUGUGUGUGUGUGUGACUGUCUAGCCUCCUGCCGCAGUGUCUGGAAACACAGACGCCCCGAUCACCUACCCGCCCUCCUCCCCGCAGAACCCCCUCGCCGCGCCGGGCUCCCCUGUCAGCUGCAUACCUGCCCCCCCCCCCCCCCCCCCCCCACCGAGAUAACACACACACACCCAUCAGCUAGCACUGAGCGGUACCCCCACCACAACGCGAGCUGACCAUCAACGCCACACACACAUAUGAGCUAAUAAACACACAUAAACACACACUAUGGCACAAACACACGUGCCUGCAACCACACAUAUAAAUCCAGGCACUAUCCCGCAUUAACACAUGCAGAUGCAGACACUUGGACACAAACACACACACACACACAAA